Molecule: ribosomal RNA, 433 nt
Filed under: uncultured bacterium
Lineage: Bacteria
Description: partial 16S ribosomal RNA
Rfam family: Bacterial small subunit ribosomal RNA
Source: RNAcentral
AACGAACGCUGGCGGCAUGCCUAACACAUGCAAGUCGCACGAGACCUUCGGGUCUGGUGGCGCACGGGUGCGUAACGCGUGGGAACCUGCCCUUAGGUUCGGAAUAACUCCCCGAAAGGGGUGCUAAUACCGGAUAAUGUCUUCGGACCAAAGAUUUAUCGCCUUUGGAUGGGCCCGCGUUGGAUUAGCUAGUUGGUAGGGUAAAAGCCUACCAAGGCGACGAUCCAUAGCUGGUCUGAGAGGAUGAUCAGCCACACUGGGACUGAGACACGGCCCAGACUCCUACGGGAGGCAGCAGUGGGGAAUAUUGGACAAUGGGCGAAAGCCUGAUCCAGCAAUGCCGCGUGAGUGAUGAAGGCCUUAGGGUUGUAAAGCUCUUUUACCCGGGAUGAUAAUGACAGUACCGGGAGAAUAAGCUCCGGCUAACUCCGUG